Molecule: transfer RNA, 73 nt
Filed under: Actinocorallia herbida
Lineage: Bacteria; Bacillati; Actinomycetota; Actinomycetes; Streptosporangiales; Thermomonosporaceae
Rfam family: tRNA
About the family: Transfer RNA (tRNA) molecules are approximately 80 nucleotides in length.
Source: Rfam by way of RNAcentral
GCUGCUCUAGCCCAACGGCAGAGGCGCCGCGCUCAGAACGCGGAGGUUCCGGGUUCGAAUCCCGGGAGCAGCA